AGGCCUUUUUUCUCUGGACUCUGCAUGAAUAAGUGGCUUCCUUCUAACUGCCACAUUGUGCCAGGUGAUCGACUCUACAGCAGAAUAGAAUUCUGGUAUAUCUACACUUCAAACAAGUUUACAAUGGAAGAAUGGCCUCCUCAAAACCCCAAACAGCUGAGGAAUCGGGCCAAUUAGUAGGAUUAUUGCAAAGACCAGACAUUUAUCAGGACCCUUUUGCAGAAACACAUGUGGGGCUGUAAGCGAUGCAUUUCCUGGCUUCUGACAUGAGCUAAACAUCUGUUCAAGGCAAGGCUGUAAUGAAACGUGGAGGUUCUUUUGUAGGUCCCAAGGCAUCUGAGAGUGGAGA
RNAcentral lists this long non-coding RNA (349 nucleotides) under Homo sapiens (human). RNAcentral describes it as "HSALNT0119310". Lineage: Eukaryota; Metazoa; Chordata; Mammalia; Primates; Hominidae. The record is from RNAcentral.